Paramuricea clavata is the source of this 268-nucleotide non-coding RNA. Lineage: Eukaryota; Metazoa; Cnidaria; Anthozoa; Malacalcyonacea; Plexauridae. The record is from the annotation of a GenBank genome assembly.
CGACGCACAUAUUCAUAAUUAUUAUUAAGUAGGAAUAAAUCUUAGCUAAGCUACGACACGUUCGUGAUUAAUUGCCUUUUCUUUUGUUAUGCAUUGUUUUAAUUAGGCACAGAGGUGAAAAUAUGCGAUUUUGACUAACAUUUUUAAUCGGCCUCGUAAUUCUUAUUUCUUCUCCACUAAUUAGCAUGAAAAGCAUGUCAUUCAACAGCUAAAAGCCUGAUCUUUUCGAAUAUGAAAACCAAUUGUUCAUACGCCGAGUAAUUCACGU